Long non-coding RNA from Ipomoea nil (Japanese morning glory), 578 nucleotides. RefSeq lists it as uncharacterized. The transcript is spliced from 3 exons. The record is from RefSeq and is a predicted model, not a curated record. Lineage: Eukaryota; Viridiplantae; Streptophyta; Magnoliopsida; Solanales; Convolvulaceae.
AGUGUGCUACGAGGUUUCAAAACUGGCAAGCAAGAAACAUGAAUGAUAUUUAGGGUCGUGGAGUUGUAAAUAUAUUUUUUUGAAAAAAAGUUUGUUAAUCACAAGAGUUGCUAUUUUUUGGAUAAAUCACACUAGGAAGACUGUGUGAUGGGCUGGCUCAAGCAUGAAAUUAAAAUCAAAAGGUUGGCUGAGCUUACAAAUUGCAGUGCUUUGAGGAUUCCUUUGAUUGAAGGCAAUGGAUCAUAUCGGAGUUACAUUGAUUGGUAUCACUACCAGAAAGCAAAAUAAAGCCAGUGGUGCCUCAGCUUGGUGGGUUGGAGAUAUAUGAAUAAUGCAGUGUGGAUCGGAGAAGAAGAAGAAGAAGAAGCUAAGUAUGGAAGAUCAGAUCAGUAUUGAUUUUGAGGUCUAUGGAGGGACAAGUAGUGUUGGAGGUGUAUGCACAAUUCCAUCCUUAAUUUGCAUACACUUUAUAUAUUUGAAAUGCACAGAAACAGAGAAGCCAAGGACAACUGCACUUCUGUCCAUCCACAAGGCCUUCCCUACAAUUUAAUUUCAUCACAAAUUAUAUAUAUCAUGAA